CGACGCCUGCAGCGCCCCCGAAACCGGCGCCCCUCCUCCGUCCAGAUCUGCUCAGCGCUUCUGCUCGAGCUUGAAACCGGUCGCUGCACCCCCUUAAUCGAGCGACCAACUGAGCCGCUUCCACCGCGCCAAAUCUAGACGCCGACGGCCAGCAGUACCACCAGAUCCCGACGCCGGCGGAUCUGAACCGUCGGCAAGCAUCCGCGUUUACGCCCGUCCC
Molecule: long non-coding RNA, 220 nt
Filed under: Eucalyptus grandis
Lineage: Eukaryota; Viridiplantae; Streptophyta; Magnoliopsida; Myrtales; Myrtaceae
Description: long non-coding RNA (EGRA_LNC000442)
Source: RNAcentral